GUGGUGAAAGAGAUUCCAGGCAGAGGGAAGGGCAAGGCAAAUACCACAAGGAAGGAAUAUGCCUGGCUUGUCUGAGGAUAGUUGGGAAUGCUGUGUGGCUGGGGUGGAAUGAGCGAGGGAGAGAGUCAAAGAUAAGCCUGGGGAUGUGAGCUGACUUGUCAGUCAUUUAAGGAUUUUGGCUUCUACUCUGGGGAGAAUGAAGUGCCAGUGGAGGGCUUUGAGCAGAGGAGGGACGUCAUCUGACUUGCUCUGUCUGUUAAGCUGCACAUCAACUAAAGCGACAAAGGGAAGAGUCAGGCCAGGUGGUUAGCAGUGGAGAUGGUGACAAGUGGUCAGAUUUUAGAUAUGUUUUUGCAGGUAGAACCAGGGCUGGCUUCAUGGGCAUGUGACCUGCGAUGUCACACAGGGUCCCUUGCCCAGAAAGACCCCAUGCCUGGUUUUAUGUUCCGCUGUCGCCAUCUUGAAAUUCUUAAGAACCUUCGGACAGGGGCCCUGCAUUUCCAUUUUGCACGGUACCCAGUCCUGGAUAGAAUGGACAGGAUUUGUUGACAGAUUGGAUGUUGGGUACAAGAAAGAGAGAGAACGAGAGAGAGAGGUGUUAGAGAUAACGCCAAGGCUUUUGGCCUCAGCAAUUGAUGCUGGAGUUGCCUUGUGUGAGGUGAGGAAAAAUGCAGGACUAAGGAAAUGAGGGGCUUUCAGAGAGAGGGACUUUUCUAGAACCUGGGGUCGCUUGGGAACUAUACUGGGGCCCUCUUUGGGGAGAAUUUUGUCCCCUCAGGUUUCCAGCAGGGAGAUGUCGCCAUCCCAGUCUGACUCUGGCAUAACAGCAGCAGCCACAACAGCUGUGUCCUCCUUGGGGACAAUGGUCUGACCUCAGAGGGACCGCGCAUGCAAACUGACUUAUUUUUAGAAUUUCCCAUUUCUCCUCAACAGCAACUGGAAUGUCUGGAUGAAAAAUUCUGCGGCUGGAAGUGAAGGGCUGAAUAAAAACCUUUAAUUAAGAGUUAAAGACUUUAAUCUGCCUCUAACUUGGUUUUCUUCCUAAAUCCUACAAUUUUCAAAAGAAAGAGAAAUCCAGAGAACACAAAAUGCCAUCCAACACAAAGCCACGAAGAUGUUGAGCCAAAACAAUUGUGGUCUCUUUGGCGAUGAAACGCUCUACUCUUCAGAUCGUUGCAGAGAAAACGUGUUUCUUCUCCCCAUCUGAACCGCGAGUUUUUCUCCAAGCUUGCCAGUUUUGCCGAGUCAGCACGAACAUAGUCCUUCUCUCUCUCCACCAACACUCCCACGGGCUGCUCCCUCAUCCACUUCUAUCCUCCUCUGCCCCCUUCCUCCCGGGUGUCCCGGAUGACCGUCUGACUAAAAUGAGGCUUCACUUCUUUUUUCGGCCAGUGAAAAACAAAGAGGAAAAAAAAAAAAAAAAGCGCGCGCACACUUCUUUUUUAAAGAUGCAAAUUUCCUACAAUUUUUUGCAAGGAGGCGGGCCCUCCUGACAGGAAGGAAGAGGGUUGCGCUGGAGACGCCCGAAGCCCGCCGUGAUUGAAAGGGAGAAAAAGCCCUUGAGUUUCUCAGAUGUAAAUAAUUUAAGGUUUGGAAGUGCUCACCUUUGGAUCCAUUGGAGCUUUGGGGAACUUGUGCAGUGGGGGAAAAAAAUUGCUGAGACAAGCGGGAGUGAAGCGAGCUGACUGGCCUGGACUGGAUUCAGCCGGGGGAGCAGCUGAGGAGCGCUUGGGGAGGAAACCAGCCAAUGGAGGGGAGGAUUGGGGCCCCCCAGGCACACAGAGCUGCCUGUGGAUGGGGACAUCCUCUCUCACGUGAGCUGAAAAUUCUCCUUGCUACAAAAAGGAUUGCAGAGGGAUGGGAAAGAACCUCUCCAAAUCAUUCCUGAGUGAUAAUAUGAGAACAUCCAGCCCGAAAGAAAAAUUUGGACCACUCAGUAAUUGCAGCUGCUUGAAGUAGAGAAGGAAAGUAUGUAUCACGAGACAGCUGAUGAUGAGUUCCUACCUCAAUUUGAGUGCCUGGAUAUUCUGAGGACAACUUCCAGCUGGGGAGACUGAGGGAGGUCUUCAUGAAGGAGGUGUCUCAACAAAGUGGUAGGAUGAAAAAAUUUGGAGCUUUUUAUUGAUUGCUGAGCAGAAUACAAAGAAAGAAGACAAGAUCUCUGCCAGUUCACUGAUUCCUCUGUGGGACUGGCUCUUAGUAAGCUGCACGUUUGCAUGGCUCCAGAUACUUACCUCUGUGUUCGUGUGACCCUCACCCUAAUUCCCUAGUGGUGAUGGAUAGCUGGAAUUGCGAUUCCCCUCUUACAACUGCCUGACCAGAAGUGAGGAGACUUGUUACAGGUCUCACAGCUCACGAUUGCAGAGCCAGAGAGAAAAUCUGUGUCUCCCAACCUUGCUGCAAUUCAUUCUAAGUGCACAGGCUGGGACCCUGUGAGGCCUCCGUGAACAGCUUGGUAAAUCUUAGGAGGGACGGCUUGCUGCUGUAAUUAAGGUGUGGAUUAUAGGUUUCCACUCCUCUGGGAAGGAGGAAAAAGACAAAGCAAAACAAAACAAACUAACAGAAACGCCUCUAAGGCUCUUCUGCUUUGUGUAUUGACUUGAAGGUUUCAAAGUGUACUGAGGUUUCCAUGAGAUAUGGAUGGUCUCUGCCUUGUUUGAGUUUCUGGGAAUAUCAGGAAUAAAUUUGCUUUUUUUCCCACCAUUGUUGGAAUUCUUGUUGAAUUUCUUGUGUUUAGUUCUUCUGAAUACAACCCUCUUUAAUUUGCAGUGAGUAAAAUCCAUCCUUCCAUGUCAAUUUCCCCAAUAUUUCCUUCUCCAAAUAGUCCUAGACAUUUGGGCAAAUAAGUAAUGGAUUAUAUAUUCUGAGCUGUGUGGUCAGGGCUCAUCCUUGGAAUGACCAUGAAGCAUUUGCCCACAUUUGGUUUCUUCCUUUCCUUUUUCAUCUUCCCCUUCAAAUGCUCACUUCCUUUGUGUUUUCCUUCUUUUCCAUAUGUGAAUCGAUCUUUUAGCUCCAGGAAAGCAUUUAAAAGUAAAAUUGGAUAUUCAUUCAUUCAAUGGUAUUUACUGCAGGCCUGCCAUGUGCCAGGCACUUUGCUGUUUGUAUCAGCUUUCUAGUGGUGUGUAACAAAUUACCAUAAGCUUAGUGGCUUAAACAAACACACUUGUUAUUUCACAUGCUCUGGGGGUCAGGAAUCCAGGCACGGCUUAGCUGUGUCCUCCACGCAAGGUCUCAUCAGGCUGAAAUUUAGGUGUCUGGGGAUGCUAUCUCAUGUGAUGCUUGGUGUGCUCUUCCAAGCUCACUGGUUGGUGGCAGAAUUCAUUUCUUUGUGGUUGUGUGACUGAAAUCCUCUUUGGUAGUUGGCUGGGGACCAUUCUCAACUCCCAGAGGCCACCCUCAAGUCCUUGCCGUGUGGCCUCUUUCUCUCAGAACAUGAGAGCUAACUUCUUCAAGACACUGGGCAAGAAUCUGCUGCUGCUGCUUAUCUCUCUGACUUCAUUUAAGGACUCACCUGAUUAGGCCAGCCCACCCAGGAUAAUCUCCCUUUUGAUUAAGACAAAGUCUACUGAAUAAGAACUUUAAUUAUAUCUACAAAAUGUCUUCAUCUUUCCCAUAUUUGUAACCUUAUCAUAUUAUACAGGGUGUGUAUCCCAGGGGUCAGGAAUCUUGGGGGCCAUCCUAGAAUUCUACCUACUAAAGUUAUGCAAUAGAGAUACAACUGUGAGUAAAACAUGCCUGUUCCCAGCCCUAUAACAUUUAUAUUAAGUGGGAGAGCCAGUAAAUAAUAAAUAUAUAUUUUUAAUUUGUGAUAAGUUCUAUGAAAGAAAUAAACAGAUUGAUAUGAAAAGUACUAUGCACAGAUGACAUUUAGAUGGGAUAACGUUGAUACAAAGCAAUAUGAAGGCUGAAAAGGAACAGUCAUAUAGAGAUGUGGAGAAAGAGCAUUCCAUCCAGGCUGACCAGCAAGUUCAAAAGCAUGGGGGUCAGAAAGACCUGUUCGUUUUUGAAGAGCAGAAAGGAGGCUGGUGUGCUGGGAGGAGAGUGAAGGAGGAAAUGAGGUCUGAGCGGUAGGCAGGGGCCAGAUUAAGCAGGCACUCAGAAGCCAUGGUAAAAAGUUUUGGAGAUGGGAAGCCAAAAGUAAUUUUAAUCAGUGGAGAAAUAUGAUCUGAUUUGUUUUAAGAUCUGG
This 4186-nucleotide long non-coding RNA is filed under the name Equus caballus (horse). Its description in RNAcentral is "lncRNA (ENSECAG00000034657.3)". The record is from RNAcentral. Lineage: Eukaryota; Metazoa; Chordata; Mammalia; Perissodactyla; Equidae.